UACGGACUGAGCUAAGUAGUAGAAUCAGUGACAGACUGAUACAAGCCAAGGGACGGCAGAAUAAGGAAAGCUCCAAAAAUCUCUCAAAGAAAAAGUUUGGUCAACCUUGUAGGGGAACCAGCCCGCUAUACCACCCGUGGUUCUCCCCUUCCCAGUGGAGACGAGGGAAUGAGAAAAGAAAUAAAGACAAACACACAAAGUUCAAGAGUUAACAAAAGUGGGUCCAGGGGUCCAUCGCAAUGUGGAAACUGUGACAGCCCUGAGCUCUGGAUUCCACUGAUAUUUACUGAAUAAUCGUUAAAGUCCAACUAAGUGGUUAACAGAACAGGACGUGAAAGCAGACAGCCCGUCAGAUCACAGGCCUGUGCAUCAAAGGAGCGGUCCACUCCAAGCACCAUCAGCAGAGCAGCAGAGCUCUCUGCCUCUGGGAACGAGCGAGAGAUAGAAGACUUUCUCCUUAUCCUCAGAGGACUUCUCUUUUACAAGCAGCCUCCUGCUGUUCCCUUCUGGGGAAUGGAGCAGGGGUCGCUUCCCUUCCCAUGAGACCUUUGUUCAGGGACUCAAGUGGGAGGUUGAGCAAUAAGCAAGCUUUCUUGCUUAGAGGCUCCGCACACUUCCUGCGGUUGUUUGUUCCACCCUGCGGUUAGUCAGGCAAGCUCACCGCCUGAUUCUUAUAUUGCUGGACUAAGCAGAAGCUAUUCUUCUGAUUCAUGACUAUAUUAAUAAAGCACUAUUCUAAAGC
Molecule: long non-coding RNA, 742 nt
Organism: Pan troglodytes (chimpanzee)
Lineage: Eukaryota; Metazoa; Chordata; Mammalia; Primates; Hominidae
Exons: 3
Source: RefSeq, a predicted model, not a curated record